RNAcentral lists this ribosomal RNA (592 nucleotides) under Escherichia coli. RNAcentral describes it as "partial 23S ribosomal RNA". It matches the Rfam family "Bacterial large subunit ribosomal RNA", at positions 2211 to 2802 of the family's 2925-position model. The record is from RNAcentral. RNAcentral also lists the same sequence under 67 other names. Lineage: Bacteria; Pseudomonadati; Pseudomonadota; Gammaproteobacteria; Enterobacterales; Enterobacteriaceae.
UGUUUGAUGUUCUAACGUGGACCCGUGAUCCGGGUUGCGGACAGUGUCUGGUGGGUAGUUUGACUGGGGCGGUCUCCUCCUAAAGAGUAACGGAGGAGCACGAAGGUUGGCUAAUCCUGGUCGGACAUCAGGAGGUUAGUGCAAUGGCAUAAGCCAGCUUGACUGCGAGCGUGACGGCGCGAGCAGGUGCGAAAGCAGGUCAUAGUGAUCCGGUGGUUCUGAAUGGAAGGGCCAUCGCUCAACGGAUAAAAGGUACUCCGGGGAUAACAGGCUGAUACCGCCCAAGAGUUCAUAUCGACGGCGGUGUUUGGCACCUCGAUGUCGGCUCAUCACAUCCUGGGGCUGAAGUAGGUCCCAAGGGUAUGGCUGUUCGCCAUUUAAAGUGGUACGCGAGCUGGGUUUAGAACGUCGUGAGACAGUUCGGUCCCUAUCUGCCGUGGGCGCUGGAGAACUGAGGGGGGCUGCUCCUAGUACGAGAGGACCGGAGUGGACGCAUCACUGGUGUUCGGGUUGUCAUGCCAAUGGCACUGCCCGGUAGCUAAAUGCGGAAGAGAUAAGUGCUGAAAGCAUCUAAGCACGAAACUUGCCCCGA